UACAGAGGGGGCAAGCGUUGUUCGGAAUUACUGGGCGUAAAGGGCGCGUAGGCGGCCCGCUAAGUCGAACGUGAAAUCCCCAGGCUCAACCUGGGAACUGCGUCCGAUACUGGCAGGCUUGAAUCCGGGAGAGGGAUGUGGAAUUCCAGGUGUAGCGGUGAAAUGCGUAGAUAUCUGGAGGAACACCGGUGGCGAAGGCGGCAUCCUGGACCUGUAUUGACGCUGAGGCGCGAAAGCUAGGGGAGCAAACGGG
RNAcentral lists this ribosomal RNA (253 nucleotides) under uncultured bacterium. Its description in RNAcentral is "partial 16S ribosomal RNA". It matches the Rfam family "Bacterial small subunit ribosomal RNA", at positions 524 to 776 of the family's 1533-position model. The record is from RNAcentral.